Molecule: long non-coding RNA, 753 nt
Filed under: Homo sapiens (human)
Lineage: Eukaryota; Metazoa; Chordata; Mammalia; Primates; Hominidae
Description: HSALNT0032452
Source: RNAcentral
AGAGAGGGAUGAAGAGAGAUUGAUUGAUGGACAUGAGGCCUUGCUGUGUUGCCCAGGUUGGAGCGCAGCGGCUAUUCUAAGGCAUGGUUACAGUGCACUGCAGCCGGAAAACUCCUGGUCUCAAGCCCUCCUUCCGCCUCAGCCUCCCAAGUAGCUAGGACUAGAGGUGCAUGCCACCACACCUAGCUUGAUUUUUUUUUUUUAAUCUGGAAAAAUUUCUGGAAGAUUGAUUCAUUUCUGAAUAUUGAACCAACGUGGCAAUCCUGGAAUAAAUCCCCCCUUUAUAUACUGUUGAAUUCACUUUGCUAAAAUUUUGUUUAAAUUUUUUCGUCAUUAUGAGUAUUGGCCCGUAGUUUUGUUAUAAUGUCUUUUAUCUGACUUUAAUAUUAAAGUAAUGCUGGUCUCAUAAAGUGGGUUGGAAAAUGUAUCCUUCUCUUCAAUUUUCUUGAAUAAUUUGUGUGGAAUUGCUAUUAUUUCUUCUUUCAAUGUUUGGUAGAAUUCGCUAGAUCUGUCUUAUUGGGAAGAUUUUUAACUACGCAUUCAAUUUCUUUAACACAUAUAGAACUAUUCGGGUAACCUACUUCUCGAGAGAACUCUGCUAGUUUGGGUCUUUCAAGGAAUUUGUGCAUUUUGUCUGGGUUGUCAAACUUAUUGGCAUAACGUUGUUCACAAUUGUGUAGGGGAAACUAUUCGUGCUUUCUUCUGCUCUCACACCAUGACAGUCAUCAACACAGAAGCCUUCGGUGACCAAAU